Molecule: ribosomal RNA, 1685 nt
Filed under: Klebsiella pneumoniae
Lineage: Bacteria; Pseudomonadati; Pseudomonadota; Gammaproteobacteria; Enterobacterales; Enterobacteriaceae
Description: bacterial LSU rRNA
Rfam family: Bacterial large subunit ribosomal RNA
Source: RNAcentral
UAUCAGAAGUGCGAAUGCUGACAUAAGUAACGAUAAAGCGGGUGAAAAGCCCGCUCGCCGGAAGACCAAGGGUUCCUGUCCAACGUUAAUCGGGGCAGGGUGAGUCGACCCCUAAGGCGAGGCCGAAAGGCGUAGUCGAUGGGAAACAGGUUAAUAUUCCUGUACUUGGUGUUACUGCGAAGGGGGGACGGAGAAGGCUAUGUUAGCCGGGCGACGGUUGUCCCGGUUUAAGCAUGUAGGCUGGUUGUCCAGGCAAAUCCGGAUAAUCAAGGCUGAGGUGUGAUGACGAGGCACUACGGUGCUGAAGUAACAAAUGCCCUGCUUCCAGGAAAAGCCUCUAAGCAUCAGGUAACAUCAAAUCGUACCCCAAACCGACACAGGUGGUCAGGUAGAGAAUACCAAGGCGCUUGAGAGAACUCGGGUGAAGGAACUAGGCAAAAUGGUGCCGUAACUUCGGGAGAAGGCACGCUGGUGUGUAGGUGAAGCCCCUGCGGGUGGAGCUGAGACCAGUCGAAGAUACCAGCUGGCUGCAACUGUUUAUUAAAAACACAGCACUGUGCAAACACGAAAGUGGACGUAUACGGUGUGACGCCUGCCCGGUGCCGGAAGGUUAAUUGAUGGGGUUAUCCGUAAGGAGAAGCUCUUNGAUCGAAGCCCCGGUAAACGGCGGCCGUAACUAUAACGGUCCUAAGGUAGCGAAAUUCCUUGUCGGGUAAGUUCCGACCUGCACGAAUGGCGUAAUGAUGGCCAGGCUGUCUCCACCCGAGACUCNAGUGAAAUUGAACUCGCUGUGAAGAUGCAGUGUACCCGCGGCAAGACGGAAAGACCCCGUGAACCUUUACUAUAGCUUGACACUGAACAUUGAGCCUUGAUGUGUAGGAUAGGUGGGAGGCUUUGAAGCGUGGACGCCAGUCUGCGUGGAGCCAACCUUGAAAUACCACCCUUUAAUGUUUGAUGUUCUAACGUUGGCCCCUUACCGGGGUUGCGGACAGUGUCUGGUGGGUAGUUUGACUGGGGCGGUCUCCNUCCCAAAGCGUAACGGAGGAGCACGAAGGUUAGCUAAUCCUGGUCGGACAUCAGGAGGUUAGUGCAAUGGCAUAAGCUAGCUUGACUGCGAGCGUGACGGCGCGAGCAGGUGCGAAAGCAGGUCAUAGUGAUCCGGUGGUUCUGAAUGGAAGGGCCAUCGCUCAACGGAUAAAAGGUACUCCGGGGAUAACAGGCUGAUACCGCCCAAGAGUUCAUAUCGACGGCGGUGUUUGGCACCUCGAUGUCGGCUCAUCACAUCCUGGGGCUGAAGUAGGUCCCAAGGGUAUGGCUGUUCGCCAUUUAAAGUGGUACGCGAGCUGGGUUUANGAACGUCGUGNAGACAGUUCGGUCCCUAUCUGCCGUGGGCGCUGGAGAAUUGAGGGGGGCUGCUCCUAGUACGAGAGGACCGGAGUGGACGCAUCACUGGUNGUUCGGGUUGUCAUGCCAAUGGCACUGCCCGGUAGCUAAAUGCGGAAGAGAUAAGUGCUGAAAGCAUCUAAGCACGAAACUUGCCCCGAGAUGAGUUCUCCCUGAGACUUUAAGUCUCCUGAAGGAACGUUGAANGACGACGACGUUGAUAGGCCGGGUGUGUAAGCGCAGCGAUGCGUUGAGCUAACCGGUACUAAUGAACCGUGAGGCUUAACCUUACAACGCCGAAG